UGAGGCUCUAGGUGCCCCAGGAGCAGGGCCUUCUGCAGCAAGGCCGGGAACUGCUGCACCAUUGAUACCAGAGAUGAGACUGAGGUUUCUCACCGGUUCCUAAGCCCAGUCAGAGCUGUCAGGUAAUUACAGGGUAACCGACAGCCCAGAGCCGGGCGGGCGUGGAGCCGGAGCGUCAGUCUCGCCGGGCGCUCCUUCCCUGCGCCCCUGUCUGGAAAAGAGGAGACCUGGAAGCCGGGUUAAACUUUAACACGGGUCGGGCACAGAGCAGGGGGAAUCAGCUACUCUGUGCCAAGCUGGUCAGAGCUCUGCGGGCUGCCGUCCUUGGCCAAGAGCGUGUGGGCUCGCUCCGGUCUCUGCCCAGGCUGGUAAACAAGGGCGUGGAAAAGAUACCCCAGUCUGCGGUGACGAGGACUCCAGUGCCCGAAGUGCAGCUCGCCCAGCCCUAGCUCAGUG
This 456-nucleotide small RNA is filed under the name Pongo abelii (Sumatran orangutan). Its description in RNAcentral is "processed transcript". The record is from RNAcentral. Lineage: Eukaryota; Metazoa; Chordata; Mammalia; Primates; Hominidae.